UACGUAGGGGGCGAGCGUUGUCCGGAGUUACUGGGCGUAAAGCGCACGCAGGCGGUCUGCUAAGUUUGGAGUGACAGUUGGUGGCUUAACUGCCAAAGUGCUUCGAAAACUGACAGACUUGAGGGCUUCAGAGGGACACGGAAUUCCGGGUGGAGUGGUGAAAUGCGUAGAGAUCCGGAGGAACACCGAAGGCGAAGGCAGUGUCCUGGCGAGUGACUGACGCUGAGGUGCGAAAGCCAGGGGAGUGAACGGG
Molecule: ribosomal RNA, 253 nt
Filed under: uncultured bacterium
Lineage: Bacteria
Description: partial 16S ribosomal RNA
Rfam family: Bacterial small subunit ribosomal RNA
Source: RNAcentral